RNAcentral lists this transfer RNA (66 nucleotides) under Arria pallida. Its description in RNAcentral is "tRNA-Leu". The record is from RNAcentral. Lineage: Eukaryota; Metazoa; Arthropoda; Insecta; Mantodea; Haaniidae.
UCUAAUAUGGCAGAUUAGUGCCAUGGGUUUAAAUUCCAUAAAUAAAGUUUAUUUCUUUUUUUAGAA